Molecule: long non-coding RNA, 984 nt
Organism: Pecten maximus
Lineage: Eukaryota; Metazoa; Mollusca; Bivalvia; Pectinida; Pectinidae
Exons: 2
Source: RefSeq, a predicted model, not a curated record
UUAGAUAACUAUUGACUGACAGCGUUUGGUUAAAACACACCGAAAUAUAGUUGAUUGAUAUUAGCUUUUUAUUACUACAUGAUACGACAGGAGUUCAUCAAGGUGAAGCUGUGGUUAGAGCUAGCUGAUCGCUGUACAGGGCUUGUGCCAGCCACAGUACCAUUGUGUGGCGCAAUACACUGGCUACCUGGAAUCCUUGAUUCAGACACGGACGUAAUCAUGGAUAAGUUAAAACGGAUUGGGUAAACUUGACAACCCAGGAGACAUGUCUGGUGCUGAGGACUACCGAAACCGGAAGGUGGCCAUGGCAGCCAUGUUGUUCGAGGACAAAUGUGUAGAAAUAAAAAAAGGAUAUUCUAAGGAGUCAGAAUCACAGAUAAACGUUCAAACAGAAUCCAUAUCAAGAUGUGAUACACCUGGACCCUCUACGUCUUCUGCUGUGCCGUCAUAUUCACAGAAAACUGACCGGAAAUCAGACAAGGGAAAUAACUCUAAAAAUUUAAAACGAUGGGUUUCUGACAUGGAAUUAAUCUAAUAUUCAGAACUACAAAUUGUUGAUGGAACAAAGUUCAUUCAGAGGCAUGAAGAUAAUGUAAUUACUUCAAAUCAUUUAAUAGACUUUGUUUAACAAAGUCAGUUUUAGUUUCUUAAGAUUUAAGUUGAAGUGUUCAGUUCAAGUGAUUGAAUAAAGCACUUAGAACCAUAAUAUUCUUUAACGCAUGCUAUUUAAACACACCAAAAAUGUGAACUACUUGUUACAAUAGAACAUACGACACUGGUACAUUGUGAUAACAAUAUAGCCGACAGUAUUACAUUAUCUUAAUAAGACAAAAGAUACACAAACCCAAAAUACAAUAAAAUCUAUUACAAUUUGAAUCUUAUUAAAUUACAUAAUGUUUUAACACUGAUACAUGCUUACAAUAAAUGUAACAUAAUCAACACUAUAAUGAUAUGAUGGUUAUACAAAAUCCAGUGCCGCCAUUU